RNAcentral lists this transfer RNA (71 nucleotides) under Varanus niloticus (Nile monitor). Its description in RNAcentral is "tRNA-Leu specifying CUN codons". It matches the Rfam family "tRNA". Rfam says of the family: Transfer RNA (tRNA) molecules are approximately 80 nucleotides in length. Lineage: Eukaryota; Metazoa; Chordata; Lepidosauria; Squamata; Varanidae. The record is from RNAcentral.
GCUUUUAAAGGAUAAAAGACAUCCACUGGCCUUAGGAGCCAUCUAUCUUGGUGCAACUCCAAGUAAAAGCA